This 584-nucleotide ribosomal RNA is filed under the name Pseudomonas sp. StFRB288. Its description in RNAcentral is "bacterial SSU rRNA". It matches the Rfam family "Bacterial small subunit ribosomal RNA", at positions 102 to 682 of the family's 1533-position model. Lineage: Bacteria; Pseudomonadati; Pseudomonadota; Gammaproteobacteria; Pseudomonadales; Pseudomonadaceae. RNAcentral also lists the same sequence under 1 other name. The record is from RNAcentral.
ACGGGUGAGUAAUGCCUAGGAAUCUGCCUGGUAGUGGGGGACAACGUUUCGAAAGGAACGCUAAUACCGCAUACGUCCUACGGGAGAAAGCAGGGGACCUUCGGGCCUUGCGCUAUCAGAUGAGCCUAGGUCGGAUUAGCUAGUUGGUGAGGUAAUGGCUCACCAAGGCGACGAUCCGUAACUGGUCUGAGAGGAUGAUCAGUCACACUGGAACUGAGACACGGUCCAGACUCCUACGGGAGGCAGCAGUGGGGAAUAUUGGACAAUGGGCGAAAGCCUGAUCCAGCCAUGCCGCGUGUGUGAAGAAGGUCUUCGGAUUGUAAAGCACUUUAAGUUGGGAGGAAGGGUUGUAGAUUAAUACUCUGCAAUUUUGACGUUACCGACAGAAUAAGCACCGGCUAACUCUGUGCCAGCAGCCGCGGUAAUACAGAGGGUGCAAGCGUUAAUCGGAAUUACUGGGCGUAAAGCGCGCGUAGGUGGUUCGUUAAGUUGGAUGUGAAAUCCCCGGGCUCAACCUGGGAACUGCAUUCAAAACUGUCGAGCUAGAGUAUGGUAGAGGGUGGUGGAAUUUCCUGUGUAGCGGU